ACAUUCUCCUCGCUGGUUUCGGGCGGUUGAAAACGACGUGUGCGGGGUUGUGCUGGAAGAAGUCGCUUAUAUUGUGAUUGUGCAGCCUAAAAUACAUCACAGGCAAGGAGAUUCCGUUUAAAUUACACUGUUGUUUCUGUGCGUGCACUUUUACAAACAAGCAGGCUCCAUCGUAGCCGAGAUUUAAACUGUUUGGCGGAAGGCUGCAAGGCCUCAACGGCUAGCUAAUCACCAUGAGUUACGGUAGGGCACCGCCAGACGUUGAUGGCAUGACUUCCCUCAAAGUGGACAACUUAACGUACCGAACAUCGCCCGAAACCCUCAGACGUGUUUUCGAGAAGUAUGGUCGAGUAGGGGACGUCUACAUCCCCCGAGACCGCUACACGAAAGAAAGUCGCGGUUUCGCGUUUGUGCGGUUCCACGACAAACGGGACGCCGAAGAUGCAAUGGACGCCAUGGACGGCGCGCUCCUCGAUGGACGGGAGCUGCGGGUCCAGAUGGCCCGGUACGGAAGACCACCUGAUUCCCAUUACGGCGGUGGUGGCGGCGGCGGUGGAGGAGGACGGCGAGGCGGAGGAGGGCCUCCCAGGAGGUACAGCGGGCAUGGACGCCGAAGCAGGAGCUCUUCCCCCAGCCCGAGACACAGAAGACGGAGCAGGUCUCGCAGCAGGAGCCGCUCUCGAUCCAGAAGCCGAUCCCGCUACAGCAAAUCCAGGUCCCGAUCCUACUCCCGAUCCAAGUCCCACUCUCCCAGGACCAAGAAGACCAAGGCCAAGUCCCAGUCUCGUUCCAGAUCUAGAUCCCGGUCCAAGUCCAAGUCCAGGUCCAGAAGCCGCAGCCCCACCCCUGCCUCCAAACGAGAGUCCAGGUCAAGAUCUAAAAGCCAGCCCAAGUCGGCAGCAGAAAAUGGAGGCGAAUCCCCUUAGAGCUCAGCAGCUGCGGCAUCCUGUUUGCUAAAGCGGAGUUUGAGCUGAGCUGAGGCAGUAUGAGCAGUUAGAAGGUGUUUGGUGAGCUGCCCGCCUGAUCCUGGUGAGGCUGUCUGUGCAGCAGCAGGGUGGAGGCAGUCAGUGUUGGGGUUUGGUGGUGAGUUUCAGGUGACUUCUGAACUCCAAGUCCAAGACUGGAUCCAACGCAAGCAACCGUGUCCUGCUGUGAAAGGUUAUUAUUGUGUCUUCCAUGCUUUAGUUUGUUAAAUUCAUUUUGCCACAAACAGGAUUUUUUUUUCUUCAUUUCAUCAAUGUGCUGUGAUUUUAUUUCUUCAUAACAUGUUUAUGGUUUUAAUAAUCCAGUUCAAUGUGGAGAGGAGUUUCUGUUUUUGUUCUGAUCACACAGGAUAAUAUACAAAGAUGUUCAUGUUUAGUUUUGUACUUUUGGCUCAAGUUGCCCCCUCAGCUUUAAGUUCUUCUGCCCAUGGCCUAUAUCAAGAAGCAAGUGACAGGCUUUCUUUUGCUUUGUUCUGCCUGUCUUUGAUAUGAUUAUAAUGGGAAGCAACAUUUCUAAUAUUUCUUGGGCUGCAGUUUCAUUAGAGAUGGCGAAAGCUGGAUUGAUGUUUCACUGAGGGCUCACUUCAUGGUAAAUGUACUACUUUCAUCCAUGCACAGAUCCUGUAGAAAAGUAGAUAUUUUUUUUCACACUUGCCAUGGUGAUCCUGAGUAUCCUGGUGAGUGACUCAGCUUUUUGAUACCUAAUGGCCCGGGUUAAGUCCAGAUUUAGAUGGCAGACACAAUCAUAUGGCUCUGAUACAGGCCUGUGGUGUUAGUCGGAUACUCAGACACACCAGGGCUCAUUUUUCCCACAUCUGAAGAGGCCAUUCAUUCCUGUUACUUUUACUUCUUGUUCAGCAUGAGAUUUAAACAAACAUCCAAAGUGACAUAAUCUACACCAAUUUAAAAUGUUGCUUUUAUAAUUGUUUUCAUGUCAGUGCAGCCAUUUCAUCAAACAGUAGUAAUCCCUCAGAAACUUCACCUGCUUCCUUACUGUCUUUGAUUUCAGCUGCUCAGGGUGUCUUUUAUUAAGCGGGACAGUAGAUAAUUUUAACUCCUGGGAUUGAAUGUGUUAAAUAUAAUUGUAAAUGGCAUUUACAGUAAAAUUACUGGUGAUGUAAAGUCUAAAAUUAAUUGGUUAUGGAAUGUUUCAGGUCAUUAAAAGAACAUUUAAACUCACAGGACUCCAGACACAGUCUUUGCUUUUUCUUUUUAAUUUUUGAUGCUAAUCCUGCUUGUAUGUUGUUUUUUUUGUGCACUAGGCGCAGUUGUGUAGCAGUUGAUAUUGCUGGUUAGCUGUUAAGGUGGCGUGUUGCUCUGCUGAGUGCUUGGAUGUUUCCAGUAUUCUCCAGAUUGCUCCUGUGACUACCAGUGGUGCAGUUGCUACAGUCUCAUCCUUUGUACAAUGCCAUGUUUUUGUUUUUUUUUUUUCCCCUCACAUGGUCAUGGAUGACAAAUGUGACUUUGAUUAAAGAUUUUGGUGUUUUGUCUAUAA
This is an RNA transcript of Acanthopagrus latus (yellowfin seabream), 2478 nucleotides long. It is a transcript of the gene named serine and arginine rich splicing factor 2b, with no coding region annotated. The record is from RefSeq and is a predicted model, not a curated record. The transcript has 4 exons. NCBI's taxonomy places the organism in Eukaryota, Metazoa, Chordata, Actinopteri, Spariformes, Sparidae.